CCCUUAGAUGUUCUGGGCUGCACGCGCGCUACACUGACGCACGCAACAGGUGCCUGCUCCGAGAGGACUGGGUAAUCAUUUGAGUGUGCGUCGUGAUGGGGAUAGAAUAUUGUAAUUAUUACUCUUCAACGAGGAAUUCCUAGUAAGCGCAAGUCAGCAGCUUGCGCUGAUUACGUCCCUGCCCUUUGUACACACCGCCCGUCGCUCCUACCGAUGGGUGAUCCGGUGAAUUAUUCGGACUGUAACGUGUUCAGUUCCUGGAUGCAGUUAUGGGAAGUUUUGUGAACCUUACCACUUAGAGGAAGGAGAAGUCGUAACA
Molecule: ribosomal RNA, 319 nt
Filed under: uncultured eukaryote
Lineage: Eukaryota
Description: partial 18S ribosomal RNA
Rfam family: Eukaryotic small subunit ribosomal RNA
Source: RNAcentral